CUACGGGCUGCUGCAGUGGGGAAUAUUGCACAAUGGAGGAAACUCUGAUGCAGCAACGCCGCGUGGAGGAUGACACUUUUCGGAGCGUAAACUCCUUUUAUAUAGGAAGAAGAUGACGGUACUAUAUGAAUAAGCGCCGGCUAACUCCGUGCCAGCAGCCGCGGUAAUACGGAGGGCGCAAGCUUUACUCGGAAUCACUGGGCGUAAAGAGCGUGUAGGCGGAUUAAAAAGUCAGAAGUGAAAUCCUAUAGCUUAACUAUAGAACUGCUUCUGAAACUCUGAAUCUAGAAUAUGGGAGAGGUAGAUGGAAUUUCUGGUGUAGGGGUAAAAUCCGUAGAGAUCAGAAGGAAUACCGAUUGCGAAGGCGAUCUACUAGAACAUUAUUGACGCUGAGACGCGAAAGCGUGGGGAGCAAACAGGAUUAGAUACCCGUGUAGUC
RNAcentral lists this ribosomal RNA (439 nucleotides) under uncultured bacterium. Its description in RNAcentral is "partial 16S ribosomal RNA". It matches the Rfam family "Bacterial small subunit ribosomal RNA", at positions 339 to 795 of the family's 1533-position model. The record is from RNAcentral.